This is a non-coding RNA of Acanthosepion pharaonis, 115 nucleotides long. The record is from the annotation of a GenBank genome assembly. NCBI's taxonomy places the organism in Eukaryota, Metazoa, Mollusca, Cephalopoda, Sepiida, Sepiidae.
UUACGGCCAUAUCAUGUUGAAACACCGGUUCGCAUAUGAUUACCGAAGUUAAGCAAUGUCGAACCUGCUCAAUGCCUGGAUGGGUGACCGCUUGGGAAUACCUGUUGCUGCCAGC